GAUGAACGCUGGCGGCGUGCCUAAUACAUGCAAGUCGAGCGAACAGACGAGGAGUUUGCUCCUCUGACGUUAGCGGCGGACGGGUGAGUAACACGUGGAUAACCUACCUAUAAGACUGGGAUAACUUCGGGAAACCGGAGCUAAUACCGGAUAAUAUAUUGAACCGCAUGGUUCAAUAGUGAAAGACGGUUUUGCUGUCACUUAUAGAUGGAUCCGCGCCGCAUUAGCUAGUUGGUAAGGUAACGGCUUACCAGGGCAACGAUGCGUAGCCGACCUGAGAGGGUGAUCGGCCACACUGGAACUGAGACACGGUCCAGACUCCUACGGGAGGCAGCAGUAGGGAAUCUUCCGCAAUGGGCGAAAGCCUGACGGAGCAACGCCGCGUGAGUGAUGAAGGUCUUCGGAUCGUAAAACUCUGUUAUUAGGGAAGAACAAAUGUGUAAGUAACUAUGCACGUCUUGACGGUACCUAAUCAGAAAGCCACGGCUAACUACGUG
This 497-nucleotide ribosomal RNA is filed under the name uncultured bacterium. RNAcentral describes it as "partial 16S ribosomal RNA". It matches the Rfam family "Bacterial small subunit ribosomal RNA", at positions 28 to 507 of the family's 1533-position model. The record is from RNAcentral.